UAUCUCUGUAGAGUCUGCAUAUCAAUAAGCGGAGGAAAAGAAACUAACUAGGAUUCCCUCAGUAACGGCGAGUGAAGCGGGAAGAGCUCAAAUUUGAAAUCUUCAAGGUUCUACCUUGACGAAUUGUAGUUUAAAGAAGUGUUUUCUGUUGGAGUUUUGGUAAAAGUUCUUUGGAAUAGGACAUCAUAGAGGGUGAGAAUCCCGUAUUUGACCAUUACUUCCAGCUUUGUGAUACACUUUCAAAGAGUCGGAUUGUUUGGGAAUGCAGUCCAAAAUGGGUGGUAAAUUUCAUCUAAAGCUAAAUACUGGCGAGAGACCGAUAGCGAACAAGUACCGUGAGGGAAAGAUGAAAAGAACUUUGAAAAGAGAGUUAAACAGUACGUGAAAUUGUCAAAAGGGAAGCGUUUGACACCAGUGUUGUUUUCUCGAAAAUCAAUUAAAAAAGGCAGGAUUUUGUGUUGUAUUGACUUUAUCAGCUUUCUGCACUCUUUUCUUGUCUUUUUUAAUGCACUUUUCGUUUAACAAGUCAACAUCAAUUUCUUUUGUUGUAAAAGGGUCAUUGGAAGGUGGCUUUCUUUUCGGAGAAAGUGUUUAUAGCCUUUGGCCUCUGCAAUCGGAGAGAUUGAGGUCUGCAGCGUAGAUCCUUCGGGGUUAGAUACAUUUGUGCUAAGUUAUAGCCUUUCAUAGACAACUUGUUGACUAUGAUCAGUCAUGUAGCUUACUCGCUUAUGCUAUUUUACCUACGCUUAGGAUGUUGAAGUCAUCGUAUCGCGC
RNAcentral lists this ribosomal RNA (774 nucleotides) under uncultured Neocallimastigales. Its description in RNAcentral is "partial large subunit ribosomal RNA". It matches the Rfam family "Eukaryotic large subunit ribosomal RNA", at positions 24 to 645 of the family's 3401-position model. The record is from RNAcentral. Lineage: Eukaryota; Fungi; Neocallimastigomycota; Neocallimastigomycetes; Neocallimastigales.